This 114-nucleotide ribosomal RNA is filed under the name uncultured Pyramimonadales. Its description in RNAcentral is "partial Bacterial large subunit ribosomal RNA". Lineage: Eukaryota; Viridiplantae; Chlorophyta; Pyramimonadophyceae; Pyramimonadales. The record is from RNAcentral.
AAGAGAGGAGGGGGGGGUAAAAGGCCUAUCAAACUUGCAGGUAGCUGAUUUUUUGCCAAAUCUAUUUAAGUAGAUGGGACUCUUCCUUAACUUUGAGGAUGUAGAGCACUUGCU